This 328-nucleotide ribosomal RNA is filed under the name uncultured bacterium. RNAcentral describes it as "bacterial SSU rRNA". It matches the Rfam family "Bacterial small subunit ribosomal RNA", at positions 28 to 334 of the family's 1533-position model. The record is from RNAcentral.
GACGAACGCUGGCGGCGUGCCUAAUACGUGCAAGUCGAACGCUUCUUUUUCCACCGGAGCUUGCUCCACCGGAAAAAGAAGAGUGGCGAACGGGUGAGUAACACGUGGGUAACCUGCCCAUCAGAAGGGGAUAACACUUGGAAACAGGUGCUAAUACCGUAUAACAAUCAAAACCGCAUGGUUUUGAUUUGAAAGGCGCUUUCGGGUGUCGCUGAUGGAUGGACCCGCGGUGCAUUAGCUAGUUGGUGAGGUAACGGCUCACCAAGGCGACGAUGCGUAGCCGACCUGAGAGGGUGAUCGGCCACAUUGGGACUGAGACACGGCCCAG